Molecule: long non-coding RNA, 836 nt
Filed under: Chinchilla lanigera (long-tailed chinchilla)
Lineage: Eukaryota; Metazoa; Chordata; Mammalia; Rodentia; Chinchillidae
Description: lncRNA (ENSCLAG00000024585.1)
Source: RNAcentral
CCCGCCCUUCCCUGCCCCGAGCCUUGGGCUCAGGUCCUGGCAGAAGACCCCACACACUUUGGCUGAAAUCACGGUCGCCCCACCAUUCCUUUUUUAUUGUUUUGGAGACAGGGUCUUGCUAAGUAGCCCAGGCUGGUCUUGAGCCCAUGAGGAUCCUCCUGCCUCAGCCUCCUGAGUGCUGCGAUGACAAUGUUUUGAACAGGUUCAGGACAUCAGGGCAGCCUCUCUGCCUGCCUGCCUGCCUCAGAAGUCUCCGGGGAGGCCUUGAUGGCAGGAAGACCUCUGGAAACACAGUGGACAGGCAUACAGGUGCCAGGUGACAGGUGGGGGACAAGGCAGACCGCCCUGAGAAGGCAGUGUGAACACAGAGCAGAGGAGAUGAUAGCUUGCCAGAUGGAAGUCCGAGAUAGAGCAUGCUGGGCACAGUAGGCACCGUGCAAAGGCCCUGGGGCAGGAGUACUCACUGCACCAUCGGAGCAACCAGGAGCCCAGGAGAGGUGGAGCCAUUGUAAGUACUUGAUUUAACUUGGGCUGAAAUAGGAAACCAUCAUGAGGGUUUUGCUUUGAAUGUUGGGAAUACAGCCAGGGCUUCCUACAUGCGCCGUUCCGCAUACCCCUGGCUACUGAGUCUCACCCAGAUCUAACUGUGAGAUUGCCACUUGUAACAAGGCCUUGGGUUUCCAGGGAAUUCUGCUGCUAGACACGGUUGCCAAGAAGGUUCUGGGGAUUUUGGUGAUGAAGAGAAAGAGAGAAGAAAUCAAAGACAGGGCUUGGCAGAGAGAGAUCUUAUGGCUCCGGGGAGUGGAGGCCGCUGAGGAAGAGGAACCUGACCUCCA